This 401-nucleotide ribosomal RNA is filed under the name uncultured bacterium. RNAcentral's name for it is "bacterial SSU rRNA". It matches the Rfam family "Bacterial small subunit ribosomal RNA", at positions 357 to 772 of the family's 1533-position model. The record is from RNAcentral.
AGGAAUCUUGCGCAAUGGGCGAAAGCCUGACGCAGCGACGCCGCGUGAAGGAAGACGGCCUUCGGGUUGUAAACUUCUUUUAUCAGGGAAGAAGGAUGUGACGGUACCUGAUGAAUAAGCCCCGGCUAACUACGUGCCAGCAGCCGCGGUAAUACGUAGGGGGCGAGCGUUGUCCGAAGUUACUGGGCGUAAAGCGCGCGUAGGCGGACUUUUAAGUCGGUGGUGAAAUUCCAAGGCUCAACCUUGGAACUGCCUCCGAAACUGGAGGUCUUGAGGUAUGGAGAGGGAAGUGGAAUUCCUGGUGUAGCGGUGAAAUGCGUAGAUAUCAGGAGGAACACCCGUGGCGAAGGCGGCUUCCUGGCCAUAUCCUGACGCUGAGGUGCGAAAGCCAGGGGAGCGAA